GACGAACGCUGGCGGCGUGCUUAACACAUGCAAGUCGAACGGGAAACAUUUUAUUGAAGCUUCAGCAGAUUUAGUUUGUUUCUAGUGGCGGACGGGUGAGUAACGCGUGGGUAACCUGCCUCACACUGGGGGAUAACAGUCAGAAAUGACUGCUAAAUACCGGCAUAAGCGCACGGAACCGCAUGGUUUUGUGUGAAAAACUCCGGUAGGUGUGAGAUAGGACCCGCGUUGGAUUAGCCAGUUGGCAGGGUAAC
RNAcentral lists this ribosomal RNA (254 nucleotides) under uncultured bacterium. RNAcentral describes it as "partial 16S ribosomal RNA". It matches the Rfam family "Bacterial small subunit ribosomal RNA", at positions 28 to 261 of the family's 1533-position model. The record is from RNAcentral.